Molecule: ribosomal RNA, 526 nt
Filed under: Labeo dussumieri
Lineage: Eukaryota; Metazoa; Chordata; Actinopteri; Cypriniformes; Cyprinidae
Description: partial 16S ribosomal RNA
Rfam family: Bacterial large subunit ribosomal RNA
Source: RNAcentral
GAGGUCCAGCCUGCCCAGUGACUACAAGUUCAACGGCCGCGGUAUUUUGACCGUGCAAAGGUAGCGCAAUCACUUGUCUUUUAAAUAGAGACCUGUAUGAAUGGCUAAACGAGGGCUUAACUGUCUCCCCUUUCCAGUCAGUGAAAUUGAUCUGCCCGUGCAGAAGCGGACAUAAAAAUACAAGACGAGAAGACCCUUUGGAGCUUAAGGUACAAAACUCAACCACGUCAAGCAACUCAAUAAAAAGCAAAAACUUUGUGGAAUAUGAGAUUUUACCUUCGGUUGGGGCGACCACGGAGGAAAACAAAGCCUCCAAGUGGAUUGGGAAAACCUCCUAAAACCAAGAGAGACAUCUCUAAGCCACAGAACAUCUGACCAAACAUGAUCCGGCUACCCGAAGCCGAUCAACGAACCAAGUUACCCUAGGGAUAACAGCGCAAUCCUCUCCCAGAGUCCAUAUCGACGAGAGGGUUUACGACCUCGAUGUUGGAUCAGGACAUCCUAAUGGUGCAGCCGCUAUUAAGGG